GAUGAAGAACGUAGCGAAAUGCGAUAAGUAGUGUGAAUUGCAGAGUUCAGUGAAUCAUCGAAUCUUUGAACGCACAUUGCGCCCCUUGGUAUUCCAUGGGGCAUGCCUGUUCGAGCGUCAUUUGUACCUUCAAGCUUUGCUUGGUGUUGGGUGUUUGUCUCGCCUUUGCGUGUAGACUCGCCUUAAAAUAAUUGGCAGCCGGCGUAUUGAUUUCGGAGCGCAGUACAUCUCGCGCUUUGCACUCAUAACGACAGCGUCCAAAAGUACAUUUUACACUCUUGACCUCGGAUCAGGUAGGGAUACCCGCUGAACUUAAGCAUAUCAAUAAGCGGAGGA
This 336-nucleotide unclassified non-coding RNA is filed under the name soil metagenome. RNAcentral's name for it is "partial contains 5.8S ribosomal RNA, internal transcribed spacer 2, and large subunit ribosomal RNA". The stretch from base 1 to 120 matches the Rfam family "5.8S ribosomal RNA", at positions 35 to 154 of the family's 154-position model. The record is from RNAcentral.